UACGUAGGGUGCAAGCGUUAAUCGGAAUUACUGGGCGUAAAGCGUGCGCAGGCGGCUUUGUAAGUCUGGCGUGAAAGCCCCGGGCUCAACCUGGGAAUUGCGGUGGAGACUGCAAGGCUUGAAUCUGGCAGAGGGGGGUAGAAUUCCACGUGUAGCAGUGAAAUGCGUAGAGAUGGGGGGGAACACCGAUGGCGAAGGCAGCCCCCUGGAUCAAGAUUGACGCUCAUGCACGAAAGCGUGGGGAGCAAACAGG
This 253-nucleotide ribosomal RNA is filed under the name uncultured bacterium. Its description in RNAcentral is "partial 16S ribosomal RNA". It matches the Rfam family "Bacterial small subunit ribosomal RNA", at positions 524 to 776 of the family's 1533-position model. The record is from RNAcentral.